GCUAGUUAGUUUGGCUAGAACUAGUGGUUGAAUUGCACAUACACACGUAGGAGUAUACGAAGCUACGGACGACACACUAAUUCGUUUGGGCUCAGCCCAAAGUGCACACUCACGCACGCAAACCAGGCCUUCACGAAUACACGCUGUCGAUCCCCACCACGCACGCGACACCCCGAGCACCUCCGCGAUGCCGCCGCCGCCGCCGCCACAUACUCUUCCGGCCGCCGCCGGUCAAGUCCAACGCCGCAACUGCUUCGUCUGCAUCUCCUACCUUGGUCUCCUGCCAUUGUUGUGCCCCGGUACCCACGCGCUCAUCCCCGAUGGAAUCCCUAGCUCGCCUCCAGCAACUAUUCCGGCCAUCGCCGGCCGCCUGCUAGCGUGGCUCUGCCACGGACUCCUCCAACGGAUCCUCGCUUCCGCGCCACCCUCCAGCACGUGCGCGCGCACGCCAGCAAAACCUGAGCUGUAGGGCUCGUGCUCGCGGCACGGCUCCUGCGCCUGCGUCCCCGGCUACUCGCCCAGCUGUUCGUCCUCGACGACCUCGACCACCUCCUGCUGCCGCCUAGCCUUAGCCUCCCGCACCGUGGUGCGGUGGUAGGCUGCCUCGACCACGCUACGAGGGUUAUAAUGAUCUACUAGGAAUAGGAUGGUGUUGUGGUGGUGUGAUGUACUGACGGUUGGUGAUGAUUCUGGUGUGGUUUGUGGUGUUCUGCUGGUGCUACUACAUCAUCGACCUCGACGCCGACGAAACGGUGUUGUGAACCCAACCUCAGCGUCAAUGGCCUCUUCUACUUAUACUACACUGUGAGCUACUCCUUCUCCCCUCUCUGUCUACAACAAUGUAUUGAGUUGUUGUACACCUGCUUCUUAUUAAUCCGGUACUCUUAGUAGUGUUGUAUUGGAGCUACCUAUUUGUGUCUAAUUGAUCAUAUACUGUGGUUGCUGUGAUUAUAUCCAAGCUGCUAUGUGUGUGUUUGUCGAAUGCUUCGGUUUAGAUGGAUUCACCAUUCAAGCAUUCGGUUAUGUUUUGUUAAAAAUAGAUAAACUCUACUCUACUUAAUAAAUAAAAUUUACUACUUACAAUGCCUCAAUUUGGAUGACUAUUCAUCCCUGGCAUGCAUGGCUAGCUGUAUUGCUGUUAUUGAUAAAACUGAAUAUAGAUAAUGUUGUUUGUUAAAAAAAAUUCAGUGGUGCUUUUGUUUAAUUCUUAGUGGGUUUAAAUAUGCAAGGAAUAUAUAUUGCUGCUUACAUAGGCAUGAUUUCAUUGGUGGCAUGCUUAUGAGAUGGUGUGCACACUAUUGUAACCUUGCUGCAGAAUCAAGAUGAUCCAUUGAUCAUCUGAAAUUUCUUAUAUGCUUAAGUUGUUUCCAGAUUUAUGGGCAUGACUUGAUGACUUGAUGGCUGACUUUUAUUUAUGGAUCUUGCUGCCCUCACAGAUGGUUUCUCUUUUUCUAAAUAUAAACUGAUAAGAACAGAUCUUAUGCUUGAUCUUGUAGCCUUGCCAAUGAUGCAAAGCUUGUGACACAAAUUUAUAAUAUGAAGAGAUAUAGAGAUGUGGCUUGUGCUUCUCUGUGAUGAGCUUGCAUAGCAUCACUAUGCAGACUGAGAGAAUCUCUCCUUUUCCCCUUCCCCUGACUGUACAAACUAAUAAGAACAUUUGUUGCAUGAUCUACUCUAAUCAACCUGUUGCUGUAGGGUAGCUUGGUCUUCUGGGUAAUCUGAUCAACCUUCUUCUUGUGGCAUGCCUGCACCUCCUCGCUGCUUCAUUUAUUAACUAAGAUCUAGCUGUGAUUUUUGGUUGUUGUUCUUGUGUUGUUCUAGUGGAUGAUGGUGUGUUCUUGCUGAUAUCUGAUGGAUAGAUUGACUACUAAAUGAACUGUUGGUGCAGCGGGUGUGUAGUUGUCCUAGGAAAGCUGUUGGUACGGUGCGGUGCUGUUUAUGUACUGUUGAGCAGUACCUGUGGGUUUGACAGCACAUAGCUGCGUGUGGUGACUGUGCUGCUGUUGUGUGGCCCUUUAUCUAGUGCUAGAGAACAACUUCCCUUUCUUCUCUUCCUAGCACAAGCUACGGUUGAUUGAUCUUUAUCCAUGCUUGACAUUUUUUUGUACUGCCACAUGUUAAUUCUUAUUGGCUGCUAUAUAUGAGCUUGGCGGAUCAAGUAUAUGAUUUAAUUGGGAUUUGCUUAAUUAGUACGUGGCUUAGAUAUAAUUGUCUUAGGAUCAUAUUGAAUUCUCCAUGUCAAGCAUGAUCCAUUUCAACUACAUUUGUGGGCUUCUUAAGAAUUCUAGCUGGAUUAGAGGGAGAUUAAGAUAUCUGCCUAGUUGCCUAAAACUAAAUGGACCUAAAUAGUUGUUGCAUUCUUGUCCCUUGUUUCCUGGGAUAUUAAUGACUGUCUAUGUUAAUGCCUCGUGGAUUCCUUGGAUGGACUAGUGAUCAACCUUCUCCGAUUGCCUCUUGUGGCGUAUCUGAUUCAGAUUUAGUCCCUCUAACCUCAGAUUGGGUUUUAGGAAAAGCUCUUAAUUCCCUAUAGCUAGUCUCCAACAGUAACAUUGCCUCACCAAAGGUGAGGCACAACUUUUAACAUUAACAAACAUUCCUUCUGUUUGUCUUUGUUUUGUCUCUCUUACUGCAGGGAAAGAAUAAGAAUAUUGGGAGAGAUUUAGAAGAUGAAGAUUUCGAUUAGAAUUUCCUCUUUAUUACUUUUGUAAUCUUCUAUUUCUUUUGGAGCUUGUAAAUGAUUUAAUUAUGAAAAUUCAUAAUGUAAUAUAUAUUUUCUUUCUUUA
This is a long non-coding RNA of Lolium perenne, 2783 nucleotides long. RefSeq lists it as uncharacterized. Lineage: Eukaryota; Viridiplantae; Streptophyta; Magnoliopsida; Poales; Poaceae. The record is from RefSeq and is a predicted model, not a curated record.